RNAcentral lists this ribosomal RNA (1363 nucleotides) under Klebsiella granulomatis. Its description in RNAcentral is "16S ribosomal RNA". It matches the Rfam family "Bacterial small subunit ribosomal RNA", at positions 10 to 1372 of the family's 1533-position model. The record is from RNAcentral. Lineage: Bacteria; Pseudomonadati; Pseudomonadota; Gammaproteobacteria; Enterobacterales; Enterobacteriaceae.
AGUUUGAUCCUGGCUCAGAUUGAACGCUGGCGGCAGGCCUAACACAUGCAAGUCGAGCGGUAGCACAGAGAGCUUGCUCUCGGGUGACGAGCGGCGGACGGGUGAGUAAUGUCUGGGAAACUGCCUGAUGGAGGGGGAUAACUACUGGAAACGGUAGCUAAUACCGCAUAAUGUCGCAAGACCAAAGUGGGGGACCUUCGGGCCUCAUGCCAUCAGAUGUGCCCAGAUGGGAUUAGCUAGUAGGUGGGGUAACGGCUCACCUAGGCGACGAUCCCUAGCUGGUCUGAGAGGAUGACCAGCCACACUGGAACUGAGACACGGUCCAGACUCCUACGGGAGCAGCAGUGGGGAAUAUUGCACAAUGGGCGCAAGCCUGAUGCAGCCAUGCCGCGUGUGUGAAGAAGGCCUUCGGGUUGUAAAGCACUUUCAGCGGGGAGGAAGGCGUUAAGGUUAAUAACCUUGGCGAUUGACGUUACCCGCAGAAGAAGCACCGGCUAACUCCGUGCCAGCAGCCGCGGUAAUACGGAGGGUGCAAGCGUUAAUCGGAAUUACUGGGCGUAAAGCGCACGCAGGCGGUCUGUCAAGUCGGAUGUGAAAUCCCCGGGCUUAACCUGGGAACUGCAUUCGAAACUGGCAGGCUAGAGUCUUGUAGAGGGGGGUAGAAUUCCAGGUGUAGCGGUGAAAUGCGUAGAGAUCUGGAGGAAUACCGGUGGCGAAGGCGGCCCCCUGGACAAAGACUGACGCUCAGGUGCGAAAGCGUGGGGAGCAAACAGGAUUAGAUACCCUGGUAGUCCACGCCGUAAACGAUGUCGAUUUGGAGGUUGUGCCCUUGAGGCGUGGCUUCCGGAGCUAACGCGUUAAAUCGACCGCCUGGGGAGUACGGCCGCAAGGUUAAAACUCAAAUGAAUUGACGGGGGCCCGCACAAGCGGUGGAGCAUGGGUUUAAUUCGAUGCAACGGGAGACCUUACUGUUUUGACAUCCACAGAAUUUCCAGAGAUGGAUUGGUGCCUUCGGGAACUGUGAGACAGGUGAUGCAUGGCUGUCGUCAGCUCGUGUUGUGAAAUGUUGGGUUAAGUCCCGCAACGAGCGCAACCUUAUCCUUUGUUGCCAGCGGUUCGGCCGGGAACUCAAAGGAGAUUGCCAGUGAUAAACUGGAGGAAGGUGGGGAUGACGUCAAGUCAUCAUGGCCCUUACGACCAGGGCUACACACGUGCUACAAUGGCAUAUACAAAGAGAAGCGACCUCGCGAGAGCAAGCGGACCUCAUAAAGUAUGUCGUAGUCCGGAUUGGAGUUUGCAACUCGACUCCAUGAAGUCGGAAUCGCUAGUACUCGUAGAUCAGAAUGCCUACGGUGAAUACGUU